Molecule: ribosomal RNA, 492 nt
Filed under: uncultured bacterium
Lineage: Bacteria
Description: partial 16S ribosomal RNA
Rfam family: Bacterial small subunit ribosomal RNA
Source: RNAcentral
AGUGAACGCUGGCGGUAGGCCUAACACAUGCAAGUCGAACGGCAGCACAGUAAGAGCUUGCUCUUACGGUUGGCGAGUGGCGGACGGGUGAGGAAUACAUCGGAAUCUACUUUUUCGUGGGGGAUAACGUAGGGAAACUUACGCUAAUACCGCAUACGACCUACGGGUGAAAGCAGGGGAUCUUCGGACCUUGCGCGAUUGAAUGAGCCGAUGUCGGAUUAGCUAGUUGGCGGGGUAAAGGCCCACCAAGGCGACGAUCCGUAGCUGGUCUGAGAGGAUGAUCAGCCACACUGGAACUGAGACACGGUCCAGACUCCUACGGGAGGCAGCAGUGGGGAAUAUUGGACAAAGGGCGCAAGCCUGAUCCAGCCAUACCGCGUGGGUGAAGAAGGCCUUCGGGUUGUAAAGCCCUUUUGUUGGGAAAGAAAAGCAGCAGGUUAAUACCCCGCUGUUCUGACGGUACCAAAAGAAUAAGCACCGGCUAACUUCGUG